CGACUCUGGUUUCUCUUCAUUACGCACAAGCCUUUCGCCUUUUACUAAAAACUUCCGUGGAGAGGAACACUUACGAGUUCAACGUAUUUUUGGAGAGGCUUUGAUUCUUGCAGAGCC
Molecule: small nuclear RNA, 117 nt
Organism: Oncorhynchus mykiss (rainbow trout)
Lineage: Eukaryota; Metazoa; Chordata; Actinopteri; Salmoniformes; Salmonidae
Gene: U5
Rfam family: U5 spliceosomal RNA
About the family: U5 RNA is a component of both types of known spliceosome. The precise function of this molecule is unknown, though it is known that the 5' loop is required for splice site selection and p220 binding, and that both the 3' stem-loop and the Sm site are important for Sm protein binding and cap methylation.
Source: Ensembl